GAUGAACGCUGGCGGCGUGCUUAACACAUGCAAGUCGAACGGGGAUGCUUAUGGAAGGAGUGCUUGCACUUUGGAAAUGAGUAUCUUAGUGGCGGACGGGUGAGUAACGCGUGGGUAACCUGCCCCAUACCGGGGGAUACCACCUGGAAACAGGUGCUAAUACCGCAUAAGCGCACGGGAGCGCAUGCUCCUGUGUGAAAAACUCCGGUGGUAUGGGAUGGACCCGCGUCUGAUUAGCCAGUUGGCAGGGUAACGGCCUACCAAAGCGACGAUCAGUAGCCGGCCUGAGAGGGUGGACGGCCACAUUGGGACUGAGACACGGCCCAA
Molecule: ribosomal RNA, 327 nt
Filed under: uncultured bacterium
Lineage: Bacteria
Description: bacterial SSU rRNA
Rfam family: Bacterial small subunit ribosomal RNA
Source: RNAcentral